Molecule: ribosomal RNA, 439 nt
Filed under: uncultured bacterium
Lineage: Bacteria
Description: bacterial SSU rRNA
Rfam family: Bacterial small subunit ribosomal RNA
Source: RNAcentral
GAUUAACGCGAAGAACCUUACCUACCCUUGACAUGGCCGGAAUCCCGCUGAGAGGUGGGAGUGCUCGAAAGAGAACCGGCGCACAGGUGCUGCAUGGCUGUCGUCAGCUCGUGUCGUGAGAUGUUGGGUUAAGUCCCGCAACGAGCGCAACCCUUGUCCUUAGUUGCUACGCAAGAGCACUCUAAGGAGACUGCCGGUGACAAACCGGAGGAAGGUGGGGAUGACGUCAAGUCCUCAUGGCCCUUAUGGGUAGGGCUUCACACGUCAUACAAUGGUCGGAACAGAGGGUUGCCAACCCGCGAGGGGGAGCUAAUCCCAGAAAACCGAUCGUAGUCCGGAUUGCACUCUGCAACUCGAGUGCAUGAAGCUGGAAUCGCUAGUAAUCGCGGAUCUGCAUGCCGCGGUGAAUACGUUUCCCGGGCCUUGUACACACCGAAUC